GAUGCGGACGCGGAGGCUCGGGACUUGCACGCCCUACUCUACCCUGUUCCUUCCAAUCCGGCCCCGAAGUGCUCGAGGAGGCGCUCGAGGUCGGCAUGCUCACCGGCGACGCUGGGUCCCUCCAUCCUCCUGGUUCCCUCGCCAUCGCCAAGAUGAGCCUCUCCACCCUCUCCCGCGCGAUCGUCCAGGUCCAGGUAAUCUCUCUCUCCCUGACCCUGCCGUAUGCUCCUCCCCGUCAAUUCGGUUAGUCGCCAGGUGCAUCGCCUCACUGAGAUAUCACCAUGAAUAUUCCUUUUCAAGACUGUCCAUAUUUUGUUCUGUUAAAGGGCUUUGUUAGAAAAUCUGAUUUAACUGAGUAUUAUUCUGCUCUAAAUUGCGGCCCCUUCUGGUUGUGAGUGGAUCCAAGAGUUCACAUGAUGCAGUAUCUUUUUGAAAGAUGAUACAUUAUCUUCAUAAAAGAAAGGAAGUUGGAGGAGUUAUUAUUGAAGAGGGAUUCAGUGGUAUGUGCUUCUCAAGAGCUAAACUGGAACAAGAAGUGCAUGACUCUCAUGCCUACACUAACUAAUCAGACUUCCCGAAGGAGAAGAAGGAGGUGCGGAAAGAGGAUGGGAGCAACAAAUCUGAAUCAAAGAGGGUGAGAAUUACUUAUCGAUGACUCGGGCAUCAACUCUUGAUUUUCGGCGGAAGACACAGGGUCAGAACAACUGGUCUGGGCCGUUGCGCCUAGUAAAUGUCGUCAGAAAUAAAUUCCCUACCUACAAGAAUGGUACGAAUGGGAUAGUCAUCAAAUUUGCUGAUGAGCCAGAAACGCCAUUACUUAAGGAGUCUGUUGCCAAAGGGACAGCAGAUCUGCUUGAUCGGCGUCAGCGUCUUUCAGUCCGCGAGCUCGCAAUGAAAUUUGAGAAGGGCCUCAGUACUGCCACAUUAUUAUCUAAUGAGGUAUGGGUCUUCCUGAUUCCUGAACACUCAUUUAGCAAUUGGUCCAGUUAUUACAGACCUUAAGUUAUUGCAUUGGCUUUAACUCUCAAGUUAAAUGUAAACAAGUGGCUUUAUUGGAGCGAGACAUCCUUCUGAAGAAUCUAAAGAGUGUAUUGGAGUCACUGAGAGGACAAGUAGCUGGCAAAUAUAAGGAUGAAUUUGAGGAAUCAGUAUCUAUGGUGGAUAUUUUAGCAGUUCAGCUGUCCAAAAGAGAAAAUGAGUUGCUUCAGCAGAAAACCGAGGUCACGAGAAUAGCGACUUCACUGAAACUGGCUUCUGAAGAUGCUAGGAGAAUUGUUGACGAAGAACGAACUAAUGCACGCAUGGAGAUUGAAAAUGCUAGAGCUGCUGUACAAAGAGUUCAAAAAGUACUUCAAGAGAAAGAGAACAGUUCACAAAGAAUUGGAAAGCAGAAGAGGAAGAUCUAGAAAUUUGCAUACCUAGAGGAACUCGCCUUCUUGAUGCCCCUUGCUUACAGAAGGUCGACAUCGACUGAGUACGAGCGGCCGUAGGUCACAAGGGGGCGUGGAACUGCUGCAGCCCAUCUGUGACAGAGCAGACUCCUGCGAAU
Non-coding RNA from Aegilops tauschii subsp. strangulata, 1549 nucleotides. Lineage: Eukaryota; Viridiplantae; Streptophyta; Magnoliopsida; Poales; Poaceae. The record is from RefSeq and is a predicted model, not a curated record.